ACAGCAGUACCGCGGGAAUACGAAGGUCCCAAGCGUUGUUCGGAAUCACUGGGCGUAAAGGGAGCGUAGGCGGCGUGGUAAGUCAGAUGUGAAAUCCCGGGGCUCAACCCCGGAACUGCAUCCGAUACUGCCAUGCUUGAGGGUUGGAGAGGUGACUGGAAUUCUCGGUGUAGCAGUGAAAUGCGUGGAUAUCGAGAGGAACACUCGUGGCGAAGGCGAGUCACUGGACAACAUCUGACGCUGAGGCUCGAAGGCUAGGGUAGCGAAAGGGAUUAGAUACCCCGGUAGUCCCUGUCUCUUAUACA
This 305-nucleotide ribosomal RNA is filed under the name uncultured bacterium. RNAcentral's name for it is "partial 16S ribosomal RNA". It matches the Rfam family "Bacterial small subunit ribosomal RNA", at positions 508 to 808 of the family's 1533-position model. The record is from RNAcentral.